RNAcentral lists this transfer RNA (96 nucleotides) under Pedococcus bigeumensis. RNAcentral describes it as "Phycicoccus bigeumensis tRNA-Sec". It matches the Rfam family "Selenocysteine transfer RNA". Lineage: Bacteria; Bacillati; Actinomycetota; Actinomycetes; Micrococcales; Intrasporangiaceae. RNAcentral also lists the same sequence under 10 other names. The record is from RNAcentral.
GGAGGUGUCAGGGUUCCUGGUGGUCCCCCCGGUCUUCAAAACCGGUGAGACCGAGCAUCUCGGUCUGGCGGGUUCGAUUCCCGUCCACCUCCGCCA